This is an RNA transcript of Daphnia pulicaria, 1458 nucleotides long. RefSeq lists it as uncharacterized. The transcript has 10 exons. The record is from RefSeq and is a predicted model, not a curated record. Lineage: Eukaryota; Metazoa; Arthropoda; Branchiopoda; Diplostraca; Daphniidae.
GGUUCUUUUCAUCGGAGACGUUGUCCGUGGAGCUUUGGUGCAGUCUUACAGGAAACUCUCUCAGUCUCACCUGACAUUUUUCGGCUCAAAAAUGCCUGAUGAAGUCCAAGCUUCUUCAUAGCAUUACACGUACUUGAUAGCUGCCGUGGAAUUAAGGUUUUCAUGGACGGUUUGAUGAUUGAGCUGUUUGUUUUGAUGUGUCUGUUUGGGGUGCAGUGGUUCUCCAGUAGAGAUGCGUUGAAAUGGAGAUCUUGUGUACUUGUUUAAUGAGUUUCCCCACCAAGGGACAACUUCCUGAUGUUAACAACAUAUGGCACCAGCAAGCUUAUGCCGCUGACGUCAUUUCUGUUGCGGGUGCUGUCAGUUACGGUGUUCGUGGUCAGUCAACUUCAACAUUCUUCUUCACAAAUAUCCUCAAGAUUCAUUAUCAAAAUUUAAAUGCUGAGGUUUUUGAAGAACAGUGAAAGAACUUCAGCUUAAUUCCUAGAUUCUUUGGGUCUUGCCCAUGAUACACAUCUGUUCUUGUCAUUUGAAUUCUUUUUCUUCUUGGCUUUGUUGGCUAAUUGUUGGAUGUAGGAUUAAUGGCUUGGUGAAGUCUAGCUUUUUCAAGGCAGUCCAAUGUCCACUUGGAUUUGUUGCAGCCAGCUGGUUAACGGUGUGGAGAGCUGUUGUAUGAAGACCAUGCGCUGUUGUGAUGAGCUUCUGCCUGCAGUCUGUGGUGCUGGUGGAGGAAGUGCUGUCUUGUAGAGUGUGGUGCUAGCUUUAAAUUAGAAGAACUCACUGCAUUAACAAUUGGGUGUUUUCAAAGUCAGUUUGAGUUUAUUUUGGUGGCUUUAUUUGGUCUGCAGUUGAUGUUAGGGUGGUUUUGUUGCAGCCAGCUGUUGGAAAGUAAGUCAAAUUGAGCUGAAGGUUUUGGAACCAAUCUACAACGCUGGUCUCAUCCUGAACGGGGACAUCAUCUUGAAAUGGACUUAUGACAAACCGAUUCAUCUGCCUUGGUAAUAAUGAUGUAUCAACCUGCUGCAUGCAGUCUAUGCAGCUGGUGUUCUCUUGAAAUUGAAAACUUGAAACGAAGCUGCAAGAAUAUCUGUUGAAAUGAGUGGGGAAAAUGUCCAGCGAUUUUGCGGUCUGACUCUUGUUCAAGUUUCUAUCCUGAAUUGCGCUGAAGUCCUUUCAGUAACUGAUUCUGUUGCCAUCCUGAUGUUGCUGUGCCAGUGGAAUACGAGUUUAUGAAAAGUUUUCUGUAUUUGUGUUUCACCCUGAGUAUGUGUUGAUGAACUUAACGUAUGUAAUAGAACGCUCUAAUCUGAUAUGUUGCAACAUAAUUUAUAACUGUGGUAAUUGUAGAUGAUGAAAUUGCCUCAAUCCUAAUUAGUUCAUUUACAGAUUUUGUAUGAAAGUCAAGUCAGAUUUUUAUUAUACUAGUAAAUUUAUUAUUAAUACAUUUUUUUAUUCAGA